This 500-nucleotide ribosomal RNA is filed under the name uncultured Myrionecta. RNAcentral's name for it is "SSU rRNA". It matches the Rfam family "Eukaryotic small subunit ribosomal RNA", at positions 33 to 596 of the family's 1831-position model. The record is from RNAcentral. Lineage: Eukaryota; Ciliophora; Litostomatea; Cyclotrichida; Mesodiniidae.
ACUGUUUAAGACUAGCCAUGCACGUCUAAGUACAAACUAAAUGAUGGUGAAACUAGCAAAUAGGCUCAUUACAACGGUUAUGAUGUACCCGGGAGUUCCGAUGGAUAUUUCCAGUAACACUAGAACUAAUACAUGUCCCUGCGUUUAUUAGUUUCGCACAGUCCGUCGCUGAGUCAUGGUAAACAGUUGAUCGACUCGACGUCCCGGAACAGUUUCCGCCCCAUCAGCUUCGAUGGUUGGGUAUUGGCCUACCAUUGCAACAACGGGUAACGAGGAAUUAGGGUUUGAUUUCGGAGAGGGAGCCUGAGAAACGGCUACCACAUCUACGGAUGGCAGCAGGCGCGCAAAUUACCCAAUGCAGACACUGUGAGGUAGUGACGAGAAAUAAUAAAGCGGGACUUCUGUUUCGCUAUUAUAAUGAGGAAUAACCAAAGGUCAUUCCGAUUAGCAACUGAUGGGAAAGUCUGGUGCCAGCAGCCGCGGUAAUACCAGCGUCAGUA